CCUACGGGAGGCAGCAGUGGGGAAUAUUGGACAAUGGGGGUAACCCUGAUCCAGCCAUGCCGCGUGUGUGAAGAAGGCCCUCGGGUUGUAAAGCACUUUCAGUGAGGAAGAACGCCUGGUGGUUAAUACCCAUCAGGAAAGACAUCACUCACAGAAGAAGCACCGGCUAACUCCGUGCCAGCAGCCGCGGUAAUACGGAGGGUGCGAGCGUUAAUCGGAAUUACUGGGCGUAAAGCGCGCGUAGGUGGCUUGAUAAGCCGGUUGUGAAAGCCCCGGGCUCAACCUGGGAACGGCAUCCGGAACUGUCAAGCUAGAGUGCAGGAGAGGAAGGUAGAAUUCCCGGUGUAGCGGUGAAAUGCGUAGAGAUCGGGAGGAAUACCAGUGGCGAAGGCGGCCUUCUGGACUGACACUGACACUGAGGUGCGAAAGCGUGGGUAGCAAACAGGAUUAGAUACCCCUGUAGUC
This 465-nucleotide ribosomal RNA is filed under the name Vreelandella stevensii. Its description in RNAcentral is "partial 16S ribosomal RNA". It matches the Rfam family "Bacterial small subunit ribosomal RNA", at positions 338 to 795 of the family's 1533-position model. Lineage: Bacteria; Pseudomonadati; Pseudomonadota; Gammaproteobacteria; Oceanospirillales; Halomonadaceae. The record is from RNAcentral.